RNAcentral lists this ribosomal RNA (258 nucleotides) under uncultured Actinomycetales bacterium. RNAcentral's name for it is "partial 16S ribosomal RNA". It matches the Rfam family "Bacterial small subunit ribosomal RNA", at positions 546 to 802 of the family's 1533-position model. The record is from RNAcentral. Lineage: Bacteria; Bacillati; Actinomycetota; Actinomycetes; Actinomycetales.
CGGAAUUACUGGGCGUAAAGGGCUCGUAGGUGGUUUGUCGCGUCGUCUGUGAAAUUCCGGGGCUUAACUCCGGGCGUGCAGGCGAUACGGGCAUAACUUGAGUACUGUAGGGGUAACUGGAAUUCUUGGUGUAGCGGUGAAAUGCGCAGAUAUCAGGAGGAACACCGAUGGCGAAGGCAGGUUACUGGGCAGUUACUGACGCUGAGGAGCGAAAGCAUGGGUAGCGAACAGGAUUAGAUACCCUGGUAGUCAAGGGCG